Molecule: long non-coding RNA, 292 nt
Filed under: Anolis carolinensis (green anole)
Lineage: Eukaryota; Metazoa; Chordata; Lepidosauria; Squamata; Anolidae
Description: lncRNA (ENSACAG00000035905.1)
Source: RNAcentral
UUAUCUAACUGCCCUUGAAGACCUCCAGGUUUAAAGUGACAGUUCCAUAUUCCCAGUAUCUUGUACCCCUUCUUCUUUUGAUUGCCUGGAUUGUAGGUUGUGUCCUGACGGUUUAUUUUGUCUUUUCAUAAAAGAGGGAAUGAACCUUUUGGAAAACUCUUGGAACUGAAUGAAGAUGCCCAUUUCUUAUUUUGAAACCACACCAUGAAAAUUAUAAUCCAAGAACAUUACAAUGAAGUUUCAAUAGAUGUAUUUCUCCGUUAAAAAUGACUCAACAACAAAAACAGUUUUG